Cyanistes caeruleus (blue tit) is the source of this 1020-nucleotide non-coding RNA. The record is from RefSeq and is a predicted model, not a curated record. NCBI's taxonomy places the organism in Eukaryota, Metazoa, Chordata, Aves, Passeriformes, Paridae.
GCCAGAGCAGGGGUGUGCAGAGCCAGGAGCAGACACACCUCACACACACCUGCUGCUCCAGCCUGGGGCACCCCCAGAGCCCUCUGCAAUUCCCCACAGGGCUGUUCCUGCACUCUGAACAUCCCAAACCUCCUGCCCCCCCUCACUUCACUGGGACAUUAAAGAUUUCCCAGCAGGUGAAGGCAAGGUGACAUCCCCAAAAGCCGGGUGUGAACGGUGUCACCUCCCCAGAGUCACAGUGCAGGAGAUCCCUGCAGGACAAACGCUCAGCUCCAGGUGAGGGCUCAGCCAGGGGAGCUGACACACACACUUGGAGAUGACAUAAAUAAAUCAAGAGCCCCCUCCCAGCUCCCCCUCUCCAGUUAAGUAGGUCACUCUGCCUACUACGGAAAUCAGCUCAUCUUCAAAGCAGGUAUAAAUAGGAAGUGUGUGUGGUUGUCAGAAACACCAAGCUGAGGCACAGAAAGGAAGGACAGCUGGAAGGUUUCUGCCCUCCAGGUACUUCUGAGUGUGGCCCACAGCUACGAGCCCAUGUCCCUGACAGAGAGCCCUCCUUGUAACUAAAUAAGUAGCUGCACAAUGUUCAGAUAUUCCUGAAGCAAAGCAGAGGUGCCCCCAGGACUGCUGCUCCUUGCCUGGACACCCUAUCCCAUCUUUCCCAGAAAAUAUGGAGCAGUUUGAUGGUGUUAAACCUGAUUUUGACAACAUCUGAGCAUCUCAGUCCAACUGGAAAAAUGAUAAACAAAGUAAAGCAGUUUCUCCUGCUGGAAAAGUCUGGGCAGCCUCAGAAUAAAAUGACAGCAGAGAAGUCUCCACCCAGCCCUGUAGCUGUGGAGUGAAUAUGGAUAUCCACAUCCAACUUCUUUGGAAUUUCUGGAAUUGGAGCUGGGUGUUCCUGGAUAUGCAGAGCUGGACAUUCAAGGGAAUUCCAGGAGUUUCCAAACAGCUGCACAAAUGAUGCUGAAGGCCCUCAGUGGGGAUGUGAUGUCUAAGUUUUAUUCCUCCCUGUUCUCUGCAAGG